Acinonyx jubatus (cheetah) is the source of this 1335-nucleotide long non-coding RNA. RefSeq lists it as uncharacterized. Lineage: Eukaryota; Metazoa; Chordata; Mammalia; Carnivora; Felidae. The record is from RefSeq and is a predicted model, not a curated record. The transcript is spliced from 3 exons.
CACUGAAGAGAAGAUUUAUCUUUUCUACUUCUUUUAAACAGAUCAAGAAACUGGGGAGUGGAGAAUAGUGAAAGAAAUGUAAUCUGAUCCUACUAGCAGUGAAGGGCGAGAGUCCUUCCUUGAUAACCAAGAGACAAGAGGAUAUUUUCCCUCCACAUUGACAUCAAGUUUUGCUAUAUUGCUAGGUUUGGUUCAUAGAAUGAGCAGAUAAAAAACAAAGAAGUAGUAGUGAAGGAAACAAUAGAGAAUUCAAGAAGGUGAAUUACAGGCUGGGGGAAGUGACUAAUACCAAGGGAUUAGAACCUAAGAUAACAGAGUAAACUCUGCCCAUUAACAAGAAAAAGACCAGAAACUAAGAGAAAAACAUUCAAAGGAGGUAAGUAUUUUUUAGAAUUAAUGUGCUAGCUAAAGUGUUCAUGAGGAGAUGUCCAACUUUACAAAUAAUCAAAUAAAUCAAAUAUUUAAAACAUCAGUGUCACAGGGUGAACGACCUGGUUUGCCUAGCAUAACCUGUUUAUGAUUUAUAUAUCUUUGCAGUUAUCAUUAUCUCUUCUUAGCUAUUAAAAAUGCUCUGGUUUUGAUAGAUAAGAUUAUAUAUUUUCUUAUUAGCUAUUGUGUUCUAUGCUUCAGACGUGAAAUAAGUAAGCAGACUGUACCAAGUUGUUGAAAAGACUAUAGAAAAUUAAGAGCAGAUUAAUCUUGCUGAUGGGAGCGUAAGCUGUCAGUGCUACUAUGGAAGGCUAACUACCAACCCUUAUUGGGACUGUAACUGUGUGUUUUUCUCUCACACUGCAGUCCCACCGACUGUUUGCCCAAUGACACUGUCACUAUUUGUUACUGCAUGGCUGUGGUAGCAGGAAAUUGGGGGCACUUAUGUAUCCAUGAACAGAAAAAUUCAAAAUGAUUUGGAAUGGGAUACUGUGCAGAAUUUAGCACUUGGAACUAGAUAAAUAUAAAACAAAAAUCGUCAACUAUAAUGUUAAAUGAAAAAAAUUGGCGAAAUUACACUCGUAGGUAAAUAUCAUUUGUACAGAUUGAAAACACAGCCAUAAAAUAAAAUUAUUUAAAAAUAAGAGUACAUACAUAUUAAGGACAUAUACCAAACACAGUAGAGUGAAGCAAUGGGAAGAGGCAAUGGGGGCGAAAACCUAUGGUGAAGGAGAAAACAUGCAAUGUAAAUUGAGGAAGCAUGGGGGUGUGUGUGCAUGUUUAUACUGUACAAUCUUAUACUAUGUAUAGUAGCAUAUUUAUUUCUCUCUUGCAUAACUUAGCAAUAGGCUUUUAGUUUACAUUUUCUUGAGUCUUUAUCUUUGAAAAGUAACACUACAUAAACAU